This 106-nucleotide ribosomal RNA is filed under the name Stauroneis constricta. RNAcentral describes it as "partial 5.8S ribosomal RNA". The record is from RNAcentral. Lineage: Eukaryota; Bacillariophyta; Bacillariophyceae; Naviculales; Stauroneidaceae.
CAACGGACAUCAUGGCUCUCGCGAAGAAGAAGCGCAUGUCGAAGGCCGAGAAGCUGAAGAAGAUCAUUUCCGGGCGCGAUAAGUUCGAAAGCAACGAGCGCGGCGG